GCGGGGUGGAGCAGCCUGGUAGCUCGUCGGGCUCAUAACCCGAAGGUCGUCGGUUCAAAUCCGGCCC
This 67-nucleotide transfer RNA is filed under the name Escherichia coli TW09098. Its description in RNAcentral is "partial tRNA-Met". It matches the Rfam family "tRNA", at positions 6 to 65 of the family's 71-position model. From Rfam's summary of the family: Transfer RNA (tRNA) molecules are approximately 80 nucleotides in length. Their secondary structure includes four short double-helical elements and three loops (D, anti-codon, and T loops). Further hydrogen bonds mediate the characteristic L-shaped molecular structure. tRNAs have two regions of fundamental functional importance: the anti-codon, which is responsible for specific mRNA codon recognition, and the 3' end, to which the tRNAs corresponding amino acid is attached (by aminoacyl-tRNA synthetases). tRNAs cope with the degeneracy of the genetic code in two manners: having more than one tRNA (with a specific anti-codon) for a particular amino acid; and 'wobble' base-pairing, i.e. permitting non-standard base-pairing at the 3rd anti-codon position. The record is from RNAcentral. Lineage: Bacteria; Pseudomonadati; Pseudomonadota; Gammaproteobacteria; Enterobacterales; Enterobacteriaceae. RNAcentral also lists the same sequence under 3 other names.